Molecule: ribosomal RNA, 305 nt
Filed under: uncultured bacterium
Lineage: Bacteria
Description: bacterial SSU rRNA
Rfam family: Bacterial small subunit ribosomal RNA
Source: RNAcentral
UUUCCUACGGGGGGCAGCAGUGGGGGAUAUUGCACAAUGGGGGAAACCCUGAUGCAGCGAUGCCGCGUGGAGGAAGAAGGUUUUCGGAUUGUAAACUCCUUUUAUCAGGGACGAUAAUGACGGUACCUGAAGAAAAAGCUCCGGCUAACUACGUGCCAGCAGCCGCGGUAAUACGUAGGGAGCAAGCGUUAUCCGGAUUUAUUGGGUGUAAAGGGUGCGUAGAUGGAUAAACAAGUUGUUUGUGAAAUACCUCGGCUCAACUGAGGAACUGCAAGCAAAACUGUAUAUCUUGAGUACUGGAGGGG